Molecule: ribosomal RNA, 216 nt
Filed under: Glomeromycotina sp.
Lineage: Eukaryota; Fungi; Glomeromycota
Description: partial small subunit ribosomal RNA
Rfam family: Eukaryotic small subunit ribosomal RNA (bases 40-216)
Source: RNAcentral
GGGUCAGUAGGUUGGUAGUGCCACCGGUACGUACUGGUCUCACUGAUUACUCCUUCCUGAAGAACCGUAAUGCCAUUAAUUUGGUGUUGCGGGGAAACAGGACUGUUACUUUGAAAAAAUUAGAGUGUUUAAAGCAAGCUAACGCUUGAAUACAUUAGCAUGGAAUAAUGAAAUAGGACGAUCGAUCCUAUUUUGUCGGUUUCUAGGAUUGACGUA